Molecule: long non-coding RNA, 752 nt
Organism: Thunnus maccoyii (southern bluefin tuna)
Lineage: Eukaryota; Metazoa; Chordata; Actinopteri; Scombriformes; Scombridae
Exons: 2
Source: RefSeq, a predicted model, not a curated record
AGAGCCACAGCCGGCCAACAAGGUGUGUCUCCUUAAGCUCCCCCACUUGGGUCCUAUCUAUCUAACGGGCUGCAGGCAAGUCCGCACAGGUAUGCGCCCUCAGUAGAGGCGAGGUGUGCCAACGAGUGAAAAGGAAAUCAAGUUCUUCUCAUAAAGUUUUCACUGAAACGUCCAUUAUCUUUCCCGUUUUGCUGCGGUCAAGGAGAAGCGCAAGCCACCCUUCAGGUAGCCUGUGAGGCGCGUCCUGCCAAAGUCUGGAGCCAGAACACCGUACCAGUCUCGGGUCUGUCUGUACGGAGGGUGAGCGUGAACGAGAAUGAAACCCUACACUAGGAAGUGAAAUGCAGGGGUUGUCCAGACUUGUUUUUCCGCAUAAUUCGAGUUUGGUGUGGAAGAAUAUAACUUGCCUGCACAGAGCCCUGACCUGAACACCACCCAACACCUGUGGGAUGAACUGGAACAUAGGUUGUAAUCCUGGCCUUAUUGCACAACAUCAGUGGUCGACCUCACUGCAGCCAGGUUCCAAAAUCCUGUGGGCAACCUUCCCAAAACAGUGCCGGCUGUUGUAACAGCAAUGGUUUUAGAUACUCAGUUAUUGCAUAUGGGUGUACUGUUUGGUUGUCCACAUAGUUUUGGCCAUGGUGUAUGUUUUCUUUCUGAAAAGUAGCUGUUAAAUGAAUGUAGGGGAGUAAAAAGUACAUUUUGCCACUGAAAUGUAAUGGAGUAGAAUAAAAUGGAAUAUUUUAACACUG